Molecule: ribosomal RNA, 433 nt
Filed under: uncultured bacterium
Lineage: Bacteria
Description: partial 16S ribosomal RNA
Rfam family: Bacterial small subunit ribosomal RNA
Source: RNAcentral
AACGAACGCUGGCGGCAGGCCUAACACAUGCAAGUCGAGCGCGCCCUUCGGGGUGAGCGGCGGACGGGUGAGUAACGCGUGGGAACGUGCCCUUCUCUGCGGAAUAGCCUCGGGAAACUGAGAGUAAUACCGCAUACGCCCUUUGGGGGAAAGAUUUAUCGGAGAAGGAUCGGCCCGCGUUGGAUUAGGUAGUUGGUGGGGUAAUGGCCCACCAAGCCGACGAUCCAUAGCUGGUUUGAGAGGAUGAUCAGCCACACUGGGACUGAGACACGGCCCAGACUCCUACGGGAGGCAGCAGUGGGGAAUCUUAGGCAAUGGGGGCAACCCUGAUCUAGCCAUGCCGCGUGAGUGAUGAAGGCCUUAGGGUUGUAAAGCUCUUUCAGCUGGGAAGAUAAUGACGGUACCAGCAGAAGAAGCCCCGGCUAACUCCGUG